UUAAUUUCUAAGGUCCCUCUAAUUCUAAAGCUAAGGUCUUUUGAUUUGAGAUGCCUAUUAAGGAAACAGGAAUUCAGCUUGUUUAGAGAGAGAGAGAGCACUAAUUUGCUUUCUGGGCUUUUUGUUCCAACGAUUGUCAAAAGCACUGGAAAUGAGCAAAUCCUGAGAAAAAAAUUCUAUUCAUUUAUUGGAAAAGGAAGAAGUGAAGAUGAUGGAUCCAGAAUGUCUGUUCCAGUAAACACAGAAAAACAACUUUCCAAGCCAAAGAAGAAUCGGAGAGAGGCUAUGCCCCUGACCAUGGUCUCUUGAGAAAAGACAAAAACAAACAGUUCUUUGAUGGAAUUCUCUGUGAGAAAAGGAAGGGGAAAUGCAUAUGAGAAACCUUUUUUAAAAAGCCUUGGGGAAAACAGAUAAAGCCCUGUUGGAGCUAGAAUCUGGAGAUUAAAACCAAGAAAGCCGGAUGGAAGAGAGACAGGAUUAAAGGGAGGCUCAAAGCCAUGAGAAUGUCUGAAGCAGGAUUAUGCCUUGUCAAGGAACGUCUCUGCUGCCUGCCAGGACUCCUGCCCUCUAUGAAGACAUUUUCUUCUCAGCGAUAACCCCUUUUUAUUUCUCUGCCAGGAUUUCUUUGCUAGGACCUCUAUUUCCCUACCAGGACUUUGCCACUGAGGAAGUCAGUCUUCCUAGCAAAACUGGCUUCUCAGUGCCAACAAUAAAACUUCCUUUUGAAUUCUUUCACGUUGAACCUGCGCUGAUCAGAAGGGAAUUCUCAUACUUCAACUCUCAGCUCUGCCACUAACCACAUCAGUAGUACUAGAGCUAGCUCUACUAAGCCUGCAAAAGCUUAUUGUUAAAUUUCCAGUGUGAGCAUUUAUUCUUCAGAAGUCUGUCCUUGAUUUAUUGUUUUGUUGAUUUAAAGAUGUGUAAAUAAUACAUAUUAAAAUUUAAAAGUCUACACCCCAA
Molecule: long non-coding RNA, 960 nt
Organism: Antechinus flavipes (yellow-footed antechinus)
Lineage: Eukaryota; Metazoa; Chordata; Mammalia; Dasyuromorphia; Dasyuridae
Exons: 3
Source: RefSeq, a predicted model, not a curated record